CAAUAGCGUAUAUCAAAGUUGUUGCGGUUAAAAAGCUCGUAGUUGGAUCUCGGCAGGCAGGGGGUGGUUCGCUCUUAGCGCUACUGCCCCAUUUGCCUGUGUGAUUGGCGGAGGUUUCGGGGUGCUCUUCGUUGAGUGACCCGGGGCGCCGUCAGGUUUACUUUGAAAAAAUUAGAGUGCUCAAAGCAGGCUUUUCACGCUUGAAUAUUCGUGCAUGGAAUAAUGGAAUAGGAACUCGUUUCUAUUUUGUUGGUUUUCGGAAAUCGAGUUAAUGAUUAAUAGGGACAAUUGGGGGCAUUAGUAUUCAGACGACAGAGGUGAAAUUCUUGGACCGUCUGAAGACUAACUACUGCGAAAGCAUUUGCCAAGAGUGUUUUCAUUAA
Molecule: ribosomal RNA, 383 nt
Filed under: uncultured eukaryote
Lineage: Eukaryota
Description: partial 18S ribosomal RNA
Rfam family: Eukaryotic small subunit ribosomal RNA
Source: RNAcentral